AUCCUUUCGUAGUUCAUGAGCAUGAUGAUUGGGUGUUCCUGCCCAUGUGUGAGAUGCGCCACCCUCGAACCUUGUUACCAUGUCGACAUAUUACCCGACUGAUG
Pongo abelii (Sumatran orangutan) is the source of this 104-nucleotide small nucleolar RNA. The record is from Ensembl. Lineage: Eukaryota; Metazoa; Chordata; Mammalia; Primates; Hominidae.